AGUACAAAAGGGUCCACUUUCAGAUGAGUCCAGCCUGUAAAUAUUGACUGAAAAACCAACGUGAGCCUGCAGAGAGGGCUGCUUUGGUGUUCAGAGGGUGGGAAGGUACAUUGCUCAGAGAUGUAUUUGGUGGCAUAUGCACCACUGCUAUAGGCAAAAUGCUUCCCUGUAUAAGGAAAAUGAUUGAUUGCUACCCUGUUUAUUGCUGCAGAAUAUAAUUGCAGCAUUGUUUGGUCUUAUCUGAAUGCCAUCCUUGUAUAUGGUAUAGGAAUGCAGGGGCAGCCACCAGUAGGGUAACUGAAGCAGGGUGACCCAGGCAGCAGCUCUUGAUGCUACCUUUGGGUGUAGGGGCAGAAAAAUGACAGCUGUUGCCACAGACACACAACUGCAUUGGUGGCACCAACAGUUACAUGUCACUGCUGCCCUGUGUGUUACUGCUGCCUCAGAUACCCCACUGCCCUGUAACACCUCUGAGGGUGGAAUGAAUCUCUCGAGCAUACCACCACAGUUUGCCUGUUACCAGAUGGUGGUGUGGCUGUAGCCAAAGACUGCAGUCCUUUCAUGGAACCUCUGACACUUCCUGGGAUGUCUUCCAAGCCACACAGCUAAGGGAGGUGGAGGGGAAGCAGGGAAAUGCCUCAAGACAAUUUCUGAUCUACAAGUGGACCUUCCAGCUAAUGCCAUUAAGAGCCUUUGAUGCAGACUUUUGCGUGACAAGAAAGGUAGGUACAGGAAGUGAAUGAAGAAGGGUGUUGUAUCCAACUGAAGUUUCAAUGUAUUUUAAAGAGGUAGUCUAAAAUCAACCAUCAGAAUUUUCCCAGGAUACCAACAAUAACGCCCUAAAUCUUGAGAAGGGUGCUGCAGGAUGUUUAUUACAAAUAGUUAGGGCUUCUGUCAUCUCUCAUUCUACAAAAGGUAAAUAUUACAUCCAUACUGAUCUAAAUAACACUUAAAUCAAGCAACCUGUCUCAUACCUUCUACCCACCUUUACUUACUGAUAUGUUGAGAAAUGUUGUUCAAGAAGAGGUUGAAUAGGCGUUGGACAUACAGUUGUGCCUUUAUUCAUAGAGAAUCAUGAAGAAGUAGGGGUGGAAGGAACCUCAAUAGGUCAUCUAGUCCAACACCCUGACUGAGGCAGGGGGUGUUCUACUAUGGGUAUUUUCUAUACUUAUGGACUUUGUUGGUUGUCCCGUGGGGCCAGGAGAGAAUUCCACCCCAGAAAUAUUGGGUGGUGGCUGCAGCCAAGCCUGGGGACUUUGCUGGGACUUAAAUCUGGAGGUUUCUGGCUAAAGGGUUUUCCCCCUCCACUCAGGGUCAGACCAAUUGCCUUAGGUGGGUUCAGGAAGGACUUUUAUCCCAUUGUCAGAUUGGUAUGGACUGUGGAGGUUUUUGCCUUCUUCUGUGGUGCGGAGGGUGUUGCCCUCUUUCUGGGAUCUCUCAAAUGUAUUUUAAUAAGUUUUGCAGCAGCAGGAUUUUGGCUGCCAUGGUCUUCUUGCUUUACAUGGGGCAAAUUAGGUUGUGUGAUGAUUAUGUGGUUGGAUUGUUCCUUUUGAUGCUCCCUGUUAUUUUUUUUUCUUUUUUUUGGAUGGGUUUUAUUCUGGCAGGGAAAAGGUAACCAUCUGGCUUGCAGAGGGGCUGGGUGUGGCCUGGCUCAUUGCACUCUGCCCUGGGGAUGGUGCUGGAAGGGCCCUUCUCCCCAGGGCUCCAUCUCUUUCUAGAAGCUGGGGGAGCAGAUAUAAGCAGGGGAGCUGGAGAGUGCACAUGUGGGUAUGUAUGCCUGUGUGAGUGCCUGCUGGCCUGCUGGAAUCCACCACAGCCUGCUGGGGUGAAGCCCCAGAGAGUGGAGACAGAGGCAGUCAUCCAUGUGGGGUCUGCGGGCUGGAAAGGCAUGAGCAGUGAGGCAGGGGCAACCUGCUGAGGCCAGCAGAGAAGCUGAGACCUCAAGGGAUGGGUGGGGGGUGGAGUUCCCUGCAGAGACAGUAAUGAUUCUGGCCUGCUGCUGGAACCAUCCGUGGUCUGAGAAGUAAGCACUGACCAGGGGUGAGAAUGAACUGUUAGGAGUUAAGAUGUUUAAAACCUUUAUUUUGUCUUCUCAGUCACAUGGUAGCGUUUUCCCUCCUAAUUAUUAAAGUGGGGGGUAGGAGCAGGGAGGAUUAUCCCUGAAAUGUAGUUAUUCUUUAAUUGGGUAUCUUGCCUCAUGGGGAGUUUGCACUCACAUAGCCUUAGCUAACUCUGGGUCCCACCACAGGGUGAUACAUUUUGUGCUGUGUCUGGGUUGACUGUGUUGUUUUGCUAAGGGAUGAUACUGCCUCUGGCAGGGGGCUGGAAAUUCAAGAACCUUUCAACACACUCUCAAACAAACAUAAUAUUUUUCUAUUUGCUUUGUCGUGUGUACGGUUUGAUCAAACUCCCACUAGAGUCAAGCGCAAUCUCUCCAACAGACUCCCAUUUGACUUGAACUGUGCCUGAGGGCCAUAUCAAUCUGCUACAUUAGUUUCCCCGAGAAGAUACUUCAGCUGGUCCAGGAAAAAGAAAUGUUCACCUGGGCAUAAUGAACACUAGCCUGUUUGAUUAUAAUGGAUAAUCUACAGAAUGGAGUUUAUGACCUGCUAAAACAUGGAAUAAAAUUUUGAAAAUCAGGAGUAAAAACCUUAAUGACUAAUGAA
This is a long non-coding RNA of Gavialis gangeticus (Gharial), 2666 nucleotides long. RefSeq lists it as uncharacterized. The transcript is spliced from 2 exons. The record is from RefSeq and is a predicted model, not a curated record. NCBI's taxonomy places the organism in Eukaryota, Metazoa, Chordata, Crocodylia, Gavialidae.